UGUUAAAACUUCAUUCAUUUCUAUUGUUAAAAACUGACAUAGUUGAUGGAAUAACUAGAUAGUAACACAUGGCAUGCGACGUACAAGGAUCGGUUUUUAAUUGUGAAAAUAGAUGAAAUUUUUAAUA
Molecule: microRNA precursor, 127 nt
Filed under: Gossypium hirsutum (cotton)
Lineage: Eukaryota; Viridiplantae; Streptophyta; Magnoliopsida; Malvales; Malvaceae
Also listed under: 1 other name
Description: MIR7502 microRNA precursor family
Rfam family: MIR7502 microRNA precursor family
Source: Rfam by way of RNAcentral